AGUGGUGUGCGGGUGGCUUACCGUCUUUACGAUGGAGGAAGCUCUUCCCAUGCAGAGCGCAUAUGGCCUAGGGUCUUGCCACGGAGCAGAAACGAGACUGCUAUGCCCUACAAGCGAUGAGAAUACGAGCUGGGCAGUGCAGGUGAAACGGCCGUGGAGAUGCGCAGUGAGCAUGCAAGGCAAAACGCCGCUUAGUCAAAUGUCACCUAAAACAGAAGGAGGGCUACGGCACACCACU
This 238-nucleotide RNase P RNA is filed under the name Microcaldota archaeon. RNAcentral's name for it is "RNase P RNA component". It matches the Rfam family "Archaeal RNase P". From Rfam's summary of the family: Ribonuclease P (RNase P) is a ubiquitous endoribonuclease, found in archaea, bacteria and eukarya as well as chloroplasts and mitochondria. Its best characterised activity is the generation of mature 5'-ends of tRNAs by cleaving the 5'-leader elements of precursor-tRNAs. Cellular RNase Ps are ribonucleoproteins. Lineage: Archaea; Nanobdellati; Microcaldota. The record is from RNAcentral.